AAACAAUACGUAUCAAACUAUUAAGCGGAUCAUGUGGAUCAAGGAGGAACUAAAAUCACUAGAUUAUCAAAUCUUUUCUAUCUAAACGUUUUUUUAAUAACACCUAAACAUUUUUUUUUGGCAAACUUUUUACAUGGAUUAUAUAAUUUUACAUGAAUCCUUCUGGAUUUCUGUUGGCUUGCGUGGGGCAAUGAUUUUUGUUCGUUGGAUUGAGCUUCCAGCUUCUCAAAUCAUCACGUUUGGCUUCCACAGAUCAGAACAAAGGAAACCCUAGUCGGAGGAUUAAGAAGUCGACUGACAAGGAAGAUGGGGUGAGGUCUGAGUAUGUCGUGAUUGCUUGGUAUGGGAUACGACAUCGUAGAGCCUUCAGUCGGGGACUUGAGCAUUCAGAAGUUCUAUGAUGGAUCGUGUGGGUCGCCUGAUUGGAGACGGGAUUGGAGUCCGAAAGCUUCCAAUUCUCGUUUUCCGAUUUCAGGGGAACCGCCACAAAGUUGUCGGACUUGCUUUCGCCAGUUUGAUG
RNAcentral lists this long non-coding RNA (520 nucleotides) under Arabidopsis lyrata. RNAcentral describes it as "long non-coding RNA (ALYR_LNC002146)". The record is from RNAcentral. Lineage: Eukaryota; Viridiplantae; Streptophyta; Magnoliopsida; Brassicales; Brassicaceae.